CACCGCGGUUAUACGAGAGGCCCAAGUUGAAAGACACCGGCGUAAAGCGUGGUUAAACUAAAAUUUAAAUUAAAGUUAAACAUCUUCAAGGCUGUUAUACGCACCCGAAGACAGGAACCUCAAUUACGAAAGUAACUUUAUACAAGCUGAACCCACGAAAGCUAUGGCA
Molecule: ribosomal RNA, 169 nt
Filed under: Liparis fucensis (slipskin snailfish)
Lineage: Eukaryota; Metazoa; Chordata; Actinopteri; Perciformes; Liparidae
Also listed under: 1 other name
Description: partial 12S rRNA
Source: RNAcentral